GGAGGAACCCUUGGGAUCGCAAGACCUUGCGCUCAUUGAGCGGCCGAUGCCUGAUUAGCUAGUUGGUGAGGUAAAGGCUUACCAAGGCGACGAUCAGUAGCUGGUCUGAGAGGACGACCAGCCACACUGGGACUGAGACACGGCCCAGACUCCUACGGGAGGCAGCAGUGGGGAAUUUUGGACAAUGGGGGAAACCCUGAUCCAGCCAUGCCGCGUGAGUGAAGAAGGCCUUCGGGUUGUAAAGCUCUUUCAGCCGGAACGAAACAGUCACGGAUAAUACCCGUGACUACUGACGGUACCGGAAGAAGAAGCACCGGCUAACUACGUGCCAGCAGCCGCGGUAAUACGUAGAGUGCGAGCGUUAAUCGGAAUUACUGGGCGUAAAGCGUGCGCAGGCGGUUUUGUAAGUCAGAUGUGAAAUCCCCGGGCUUAACCUGGGAACUGCGUUUGAAACUACAAGGCUAGAAGGG
RNAcentral lists this ribosomal RNA (470 nucleotides) under uncultured beta proteobacterium. Its description in RNAcentral is "bacterial SSU rRNA". It matches the Rfam family "Bacterial small subunit ribosomal RNA", at positions 188 to 649 of the family's 1533-position model. The record is from RNAcentral. Lineage: Bacteria; Pseudomonadati; Pseudomonadota; Betaproteobacteria.